CCUGGUCGACCGAGUGCCAGCAAUGUUGGCCAAGAUACCAUCACACUCGCAUGGAAGAGGCCAGAGGCACACAGAAAACGUGACUAUUACCAAGUGAGUUUUAAGAAAAAUGUUGACGGGUCCACAUGGCGCGUCUACAAAGAGGACUUUUACGAAUGUACUGUUGAACUAGCCGAUUUCGAUUCAGAGUGUGAAUACCUGUUUCGCGUGCGUGGUGUUUACGGAGGUAAUGAAGGCCCGUAUAGUGAAGUCAGUGAUGUAGUUACUACAUUAAAAUCGCAAGCGACAAAACUGCUUGAAUGGUCUCGACGCUAUGAACAGCAAGGUGUAUCACCUACCAAAUAUGCAUUACUGGUCCAGGAAAUUGGAAAUGCAAGAAAUGAGAAGCAUAAAUCUCGGAAAUUCGAAAUAGGAGUAGGCAGCGAAUCUCCGACAGAGAAAACAAUCUUGAUGAUUGGCGAAACAGGAACUGGUAAAAGUACCACGAUCGAUUGGAUGGUAAACUACAUACUCGGCGUGAAAUGGAAUGAUCCCUUUCGGUUUAGCGUGGUCAGUCUAGAAGAUGAUGAAACAUCACGAACGCUCUUUAAGGAACUUUCGCAAACAGAAUGGAUCACAACGUAUACAAUAUAUCACGAUAGUGGAAGUAGACUUCCAUACACAAUUAAUAUCAUUGACACACCAGGAUUUGGUGACAAUCGUGGCCGCGGUAAAGACAAAGAAAUCGUUGAACGGAUCCAGGGAUUUUUCUCCUCACCACCGCCCAAAGGCAUAUUAGCCAUCGAUGCUGUUUGCUUUUUUAUUAAAGCGCCAGAUGCCCGGCUAAAUGCAAUAGAGGGUAACAUUUUCGAAUUGAUCAUGUCAAUAUUUGGUAAAGAUAUUGGAAACAACAUUUGUGCAUUUAUUACAUUCGCUAACGCGAUGUCUACCCCUGUUUUAACAGCUCUUGACGAUUCCCAACUAGCUUUUUGCGGAAAGUUCAUGUUCAAUAAUACAGCUUUGUGUGCUUCAAAUAAAGAAGAAGAAAUAAACCCUUUGUCACAUUUAUUCUGGGAUAUGGGUGUAGGAAGUUUUAAAAACUUUUUUAAACAUUUAGACACACUUACGAAAAGGAGUCUUCAAAUGACUACUGAAGUUCUGAAUGAGAGAAAAAGACUAGAAUGUCUUCAACCAAAAUUAGAUGAAAGUAUCAUUAGAGUCAAAGAGCUUAAAACGGCCACUGGA
Long non-coding RNA from Dreissena polymorpha, 1224 nucleotides. RefSeq lists it as uncharacterized. Lineage: Eukaryota; Metazoa; Mollusca; Bivalvia; Myida; Dreissenidae. The record is from RefSeq and is a predicted model, not a curated record. The transcript is spliced from 3 exons.